RNAcentral lists this ribosomal RNA (497 nucleotides) under uncultured bacterium. RNAcentral describes it as "partial 16S ribosomal RNA". It matches the Rfam family "Bacterial small subunit ribosomal RNA", at positions 28 to 507 of the family's 1533-position model. The record is from RNAcentral.
GAUGAACGCUGGCGGCGUGCCUAAUACAUGCAAGUCGAGCGAACAGAUGAGGAGCUUGCUCCUCUUACGUUAGCGGCGGACGGGUGAGUAACACGUGGAUAACCUACCUAUAAGACUGGGAUAACUUCGGGAAACCGGAGCUAAUACCGGAUAAUAUAUUGAACCGCAUGGUUCAAUAGUGAAAGACGGUUUUGCUGUCACUGAUAGAUGGAUCCGCGCCGCAUUAGCUAGUUGGUAAGGUAACGGCUUACCAAGGCAACGAUGCGUAGCCGACCUGAGAGGGUGAUCGGCCACACUGGAACUGAGACACGGUCCAGACUCCUACGGGAGGCAGCAGUAGGGAAUCUUCCGCAAUGGGCGCAAGCCUGACGGAGCCACGCCGCGUGAGUGAUGAAGGUCUUCGGAUCGUAAAACUCUGUUAUUAGGGAAGAACAAAUGUGUAAGUAACUCUGCACGUCUUGACGGUACCUACUCAGAAAGCCACGGCUAACUACGUG